AGGAAAAGUUUUAAAACAGCUCAUAUAUACCCAUAAUAUGGAUGGGAGUUUCUACCGGAAGCCGUAAAUUUCUGACUAUGAGCGAAAGUUAUUUGCAU
Molecule: non-coding RNA, 98 nt
Filed under: Clostridium oryzae
Lineage: Bacteria; Bacillati; Bacillota; Clostridia; Eubacteriales; Clostridiaceae
Description: Guanine sequence
Rfam family: Purine riboswitch aptamer
About the family: Riboswitches are metabolite binding domains within certain messenger RNAs that serve as precision sensors for their corresponding targets. Allosteric rearrangement of mRNA structure is mediated by ligand binding, and this results in modulation of gene expression.
Source: Rfam by way of RNAcentral